This is a long non-coding RNA of Anguilla rostrata (American eel), 1563 nucleotides long. RefSeq lists it as uncharacterized. The record is from RefSeq and is a predicted model, not a curated record. NCBI's taxonomy places the organism in Eukaryota, Metazoa, Chordata, Actinopteri, Anguilliformes, Anguillidae. The transcript has 3 exons.
AGCUUGCAAGCUAGCUAGGGCAGACUUGCGCUUCUGUGGGCCUUUUUUGACGGGGAUGUGGAGGCCUCCAAACAGGAGCAAAUUAGCACCAGCGGCCACAGGGAAAUCACCAUUCAGCAAAAAAAUGUUGGCUAAACCCAACACUAGCCACAUCCAUUAUGUUUUACAUUACAUUACAUUUAUUUGGCAGACGCUUUUAUCCAAAGCUAAGUUUAUCCACACUGAGUUACUGAAAAAACAAAAUGUACUAUUCUUAAUUAGAUUGCAAGCUAGCGUGCUUCUCCGUGUUUGAUUCCACAUUUUAAUCACACAGGCUAGGUAAUGAUAUUAAGUCUGAAUAUCUGGAGUAUUUUUGACGCUUAAUUGCCUAGUAAAAGAAAAAGAUCCGGAAAAAGGGUGUGUGUCUUCUGAAAUGCCAGUUGCAGCUGCUUUUCUUUGUGCAAGCUGCCAGCUCAGCUGCACAGUGACCAGGGAAGUCACAGUCGGGUUACAAGGCAGGAGGAUACCCCGUUAGCCCCACACUGCGUGAUGCUAUGGCCACCCUGCCCGUCAUGACCUGAUGCAGCAGACGCCUCUCUACGGACCAAACUACUCGGAAUACCAGCUGGAUGCAAAACUUGGGACCCCUUCUGGUUUCUGUCUUGAAGCCAAUUGGACAGGCAGAGAUGGGGAGGAGCCGCUAAGACAGUGCCAAGGGGGUACCGCCACGCCGAGACUCCGCCCGAGCGCCCUUCCUGCUGCUAUACGUGUCCAGAUUUGGACAAGUAGGCAAUGAGGGCCACCACCACACCCACGUACACUCCUGUUCCGAUCGUUAUGGACAGGGCGGCCAGGAACAGAGCCCUACGGGACGCGGUGCUUGCUUGCGGGAAGUCUCCCUUGGCGAUGGCUUUGCUCGUCUGCAGAAAGAAGUGAAGAAACAGACAUUAAAUACACAGCAAAGAAACUUCUUUUCCUUAACAAUCAUUAAAUCGUGUCUCUCUCUAUUUUGCUCUUACGGUCAAAAAGCUGAAGCAGCGGUUUAAAUAAGCAAUUAUGAACAUCUUAAAAGACAGUUAAUUGGGCAGAGAUAAUGCACAUUGCAGAGGGGAGAAAAGGCAGAAAAAACCCUAGUGUUUAUUUUGUUGUUUGUCUCUUUCCACAGGCACUGAUGUGUCUUUUAAACACUUUGCUAAUUACUUCCAGGGUCUACUUGGUAUUGUCCAGGGAAAACAUGCUUUUAAUGGAAUUAGUCGGAGAAAUAAAAAAAAACAACUCUACUGGAAAUACACUUCUCCCUCUUUGACUGCAUGUUGGUUCCAUCUAAUAUCAGCAGGAAGGGAGCGGCGGAGUGAAAAGAAAACAAUAAAACAUGCGUUUUAAUGCUACUUUCGACAUGUUGGUGGAUGCUUUUAUUAAUAGUGCUAGAAGCAGUUUAAGCUGAGUGGUGUGAUUACAAGCUGCCUCCUGUGUUUUCAGAGACUGCUGUUUCCUCACUGAUGCCGUGUGUUUUAUAUCAUGGCAGGAACCAUCCCUAGCAUGCUUGGGGCACUCACUGGUCCCACUGUGUAGACUACAUACUAU